Long non-coding RNA from Stegodyphus dumicola, 852 nucleotides. The record is from RefSeq and is a predicted model, not a curated record. Lineage: Eukaryota; Metazoa; Arthropoda; Arachnida; Araneae; Eresidae.
UUCUCUUUACCGCAAAUCAAUGAGGGUCGAUUUCUUCAAUGAUACGUGCCUUUCGCGGGGUUGGACUUGAGAAGUCCUAAAUGUUGUUCGUCCUCUGCACUGCUAAGCUUCUCCGCAGCGGCAAAGAUGGAGAGGUGCAUAAGCAUAAUGAUUUCGAUUUCUGUUGCUCCUAAUUAAAUUAGUAGCAUAUAUAAAUUUAAUGAACCAGAAAUAAUUGGAGAUGAUAACUCUUAAAAGAUUUUUAGGCCGGAAAGGGGCAAACACGAGACCGAUGUGUGUUGAACUGAAAUGGGAGACAAGAGGCUGACCACCAUAUUUGAUCGAGAGGAGAAAUCCUUGCUGUCUUCUCUAGUGUGCUGCUCCUGUUCCGCUGGCUUCACUCUCAUCGUUUCUGGAACUAUUUUCACAAUUUUCUUUCGCAAAUUUGCAGUUGCUGAAUUUGAAAGUGCAGUUGUGAUUCUCUGGGUAUUAGGAAUCGUGUUUACCAUAACUGGCUUCAUCGUCGCAAUAGCGGUGGUAUGGAAUCGCCAGACAAUGCCUAAAAUUUCAUCAGCGGCUACGGCCGACGUCACCCCCGACCCUUAUUCCUUAACACCUGUUUAUCCUGCGAAUCCGAAUGCCAGUUCCGGACUUGUUACUCAUGGCCCACAAAUACUUCUGUUGCCUGGUGGACUGGAGCCAUUGUAUGUCACUCUUCGUAAUGAUACUUAAGUAAGGAAAAAGAAAACUAUUUUUCCACAGCUGUUCCAAACAUCAUGUCUCGACAUCAGGAAUGCAGUCAAGCAUUCUUUUCGAAUGCCAUGAGUUAUAUCUUUGUACAGCUGUAAUGAAUAAUCAGAAUUUGUUUACAUA